GUAGUUAGCCGGGGCUUUCUUACAGGGUACCGUCACUUCUUCGUCCCCUGCGACAGAGGUUUACAAUCCGAAAACCUUCUUCCCUCACGCGGCGUUGCUGGGUCAGGCUUGCGCCCAUUGCCCAAUAUUCCCCACUGCUGCCUCCCGUAGGAGUCUGGACCGUGUCUCAGUUCCAGUGUGGCCGAUCAGCCUCUCAGCUCGGCUACCCAUCGUCGGCUUGGUGGGCUGUUAUCUCACCAACUACCUAAUGGGACGCGAACCCCUCUAAAAGCGAUAAAUCUUUGACCUCUUCCCGAUGCCGGGUUGUGGUCUUAUGCGGUAUUAGCAGUUGUUUCCACCUGUUAUUCCCCACUCUUAGGCAGGUUGUUCACGCGUUACUCACCCGUGCGCCACUAGAAUUAUCAAUUCCAUCCGAAAACUUCCUUAAUAAUCCCCGUUCGACUUGCAUGUGUUAGGCACGCCGCCAGCGUUCGUCCUGAGCCAGAAUCAAACUCUGA
This 497-nucleotide ribosomal RNA is filed under the name uncultured bacterium. Its description in RNAcentral is "partial 16S ribosomal RNA". The record is from RNAcentral.